ACGGAGGAUGCGAGCGUUAUCCGGAUUCAUUGGGUUUAAAGGGUGCGUAGGCGGACUAAUAAGUCAGUGGUGAAAUCCUGCAGCUUAACUGCAGAACUGCCAUUGAUACUGUUAGUCUUGAGUUUGGUUAAGGUAGGCGGAAUGUGUAAUGUAGCGGUGAAAUGCUUAGAUAUUACACAGAACACCAAUUGCGUAGGCAGCUUACUGGACCGACACUGACGCUGAGGCACGAAAGCGUGGGGAUCGAACAGGAUUAGAUACCCUGGUAGUCCACGCCGUAAACGAUGAUUACUCGCUGUUGGCGAUACACAGUCAGCGGCUAAGCAAAAGCAAUAAGUAAUCCACCUGGGGAGUACGGCCGCAAGGUUG
Molecule: ribosomal RNA, 369 nt
Filed under: uncultured bacterium
Lineage: Bacteria
Description: bacterial SSU rRNA
Rfam family: Bacterial small subunit ribosomal RNA
Source: RNAcentral